This 1917-nucleotide ribosomal RNA is filed under the name Triticum aestivum (bread wheat). RNAcentral describes it as "partial small subunit ribosomal RNA". Lineage: Eukaryota; Viridiplantae; Streptophyta; Magnoliopsida; Poales; Poaceae. The record is from RNAcentral.
AUGUCGUCGCCGGUGUCCAAUUCCAAGAAGUUGCGCGGAUCAGCAGCACAUGGUGUUGACAGGCUCAGCAGCCUUCCUGACCCGCUGCUCCAUCUUGUGAUGUCCUUCCUGCCGAUGCCAGAAGUCGUCCGCACAUGCUUGCUCUCCCCAAGGUGGCGUGAUCUCUGGGCCUCCGUGCCCUUCAUCCACCUAGACUACAAUGACUUCGUGGAUGGUGAGGAUGAUCAGGAGAAGAGAGUGAUGGAUCAGAAUAGGCUGCAUAAGUUUGGGGAUCAGUUGCUAUUCCUGCGGGAUGGCACUCUACCCUUCGAUGAGGCUCGGAUCUUAUUCAGAGAUGGUGAUUUUGAAACCAAAUGUGAUACGUGGAUUCGUCAUGCCAUCAGGCAUAAAGCUCGUUUGCUUCAUCUCUAUGGUUCUAGCGACAUCAGAAUAAUAUUCGACAACAGGUCAAUGUUUUCUUCUCAGCACCUGAGAAGAAUCAAGCUCCAAGAGGUCAGUUUGGAUGACAGUUUUUUCAAGCUGCUGAAUUUUGACUUCCAUGUGCUUGAACAUCUAGAGCUGGAGCAUUGCAAUGUCUUGGACCCGCAGCAGAUGUCAUCAAGGGAUUUGCAUUAUCUAGUUACAACUUCUAUAAGUCUAAGAUCUGGUGUUCUCCAAGGCAAUCGAGGCAAAAUAUUGGACUAUAGUAUACUCCAUGGCCUCUCACAUGUCACAGCCUUGGAGUUGUAUGCACCAUUAUCUGAGCACGCAUUCGAGAGGGGUUUGCAAACAUGCCCAGUGUUUGGCAACCUCACAAGUCUGGUGCUGCACGAAUGGUGCAUGGCUUCCGACUUCACUCCGCUGCUUCUCAUUCUCCGGCACUCCCCUAAACUGAAGGAUCUGACCUUUAAGCUCAAAAUGCAGCAGUGUGGAACAUGCAAGGAUGUUUACCGUCAUCUGUCAGCGAGGAAGGAAUCGUCACCGGAGAACUAUCCUAGCAUCGAGAGGACUGUGAUCUACUGCGGCAAAGAUGAUCCAAGGAUGUCCUCCCAACUCCCCGACGAACUCCUCGACCUGGCCUACGGCCGGAUCACCAACCCGCUCGGCCGCGUGCGCUUCGCCGCCGUCUGCCGGGCGUGGCGCGCCGUCGCAUUCUGGCGCCGCCUCCGGCGCCUCUCCCGAUGCUGCUCCUCUCCACUUACGACCGCGGCAAAACCAAGGACCUCUACUGCCUUGAGGACGGUGGGGUCCUCCGUGUCCGCCUUCCACGCACGCCCAAAGGCGUGGCGCGCAAACGGAUCGUCGGAUCUCACCAAGGUGGAUGGGUUGCCAUGGUGUCAGCUGGCCGCGUCAUGAGUUAAUUCUACUACAGGGUGGACCGUGAAAGCAUGUGGCAUGGGGAUGCUCAAGGAUAUAGCUUUCUACCAUGGGGAGCUCUACGGGCUCCUCCAACUAGAUGGUCAGGUGGUCAGAUUGCUGAAGUUCGGCACCAGCAGCAGCACAUAUGAACUUGUACUGGUCACGACCAUCCAGACCAUGGUCACCGAAAGCCUUCCUUAUCUCUUGAUGGAGGAGGACCACGACGCGGUUGUGCAUGCCAUCUACAUCUUCGAGAUGGGCAACAAGCUGACGAUGGCGGUCAAGACCGGAGAGUAUUUCUUCAGGCUAUAUGAGCUACUCAUAUGUGCCAACGCUAACUCUAGGUGGGGAGAGAUGACAAGCUUGCAUGACUACGCACUAUUCUUGGGCCCAACGUGCUCCACGGCUGUGGAGGUGUGUGUGCGGAAGGGCGUGGCGGCGUGCAGAGAAACCACAUCUAUUACUCCAAUGAAAGAUAUGGCCAUCUUCCUCUUCAUAAGAGGUAUCUCACAAAAAUUGCCGAUGGUCGUGCCGUGUACUACGACGAUGAUGAAAUACCGUGUUACGACGGGAAGGUGA